RNAcentral lists this ribosomal RNA (420 nucleotides) under uncultured bacterium. RNAcentral describes it as "bacterial SSU rRNA". It matches the Rfam family "Bacterial small subunit ribosomal RNA", at positions 917 to 1341 of the family's 1533-position model. The record is from RNAcentral.
GGGCCCGCACAAGCGGAGGAACAUGUGGUUUAAUUCGAUGAUACGCGAGGAACCUUACCAAGACUUAAAUGUAGAUUGACAGAUUGUGAAAACAGUUUUUCUUCGGACAAUUUACAAGGUGCUGCAUGGUUGUCGUCAGCUCGUGCCGUGAGGUGUCGGGUUAAGUCCCAUAACGAGCGCAACCCCUAUUUUAGUUACCAGCGAGUAAUGUCGGGAACUCUAGAAAGACUGCCUGUGUAAACAGUGAGGAAGGUGGGGAUGACGUCAAAUCAUCACGGCCCUUAUGUCUUGGGCUACACACGUGUUACAAUGGUUACUACAGUGGGUUGCCAUCUGGCAACAGAGAGCAAAUCCAUAAAGGUAAUCCCAGUUCGGAUCGGAGUCUGCAACUCGACUCUGUGAAGUUGGAUUCGCUAGUAA